AUGGCGUCGCCGUUGUCUGAGAUUCCCGAGGACGUGCUACACCUCAUCAUCGACGGCCUCGUUUCCUCCACUGAUCGGCGUGGCCUCGUCUCCACGGCGUGGUCUGGACUACGCCGGCUCCUCCACUUCUCCGAUGGUUUCGAGGCGGCGCGCCGUGCCCGGCACUCGGUCUCGGCCGAUCGCGCUCGCUUCCGGGCCGUCUGUCGUUCGUGGCACUUGGCUAUGCGCCAGCACGUUCCGGCUCCAAGGCAGAUCCCCUGGAUUGUCAUGUCCGAUGGCUCGUUCCUCACACCUUCGGACGUUGCCGGCACCUCGCCCGCGCGCAUCCCCUCCUUGCCCAGGAACGCGAGAUGCGUAGCCUCGGCUGAUAGUUGGCUCCUUCUCGACCGCACGGAUGUCAGGAAGAAGAUGCAUAGCUACUUCUUGCAUGAUCCCUUCACCAACACGACUGUGCCGCUCCCAGAGCUUGACGCUGUGAUCGGCCAUGCUUCUGAGCUUUUCGGGGUCCACAAACUGCGGAAGGGUGUGUGGUUGCCUAAGCCACAAACUGCUCCCUUCAUCUACAUCGUCGACACUGCAUUUCUUGGAGACAAGCUAUAUGGAAUCACUCACGCCGAGGAUCUUGUCUCUUUUGAUGAGGUCGCCAAUAAUGAGGAACAGAGCAAAGAGGACACCAUAGAGCAACGCCGGAAGAAAACCGGCGAUGACAUGAUUCUUGAAGGCAUUACUGCUUGGUCGGAUGAUGAGGAUGAAGUUAGGGACCACUGGUACUUAGUCGAGUCAUGUGGAAAACUAUUAAUGGUGAUACGACAAGUUCGAGUGCCCUCCAUAAUAUCAGCUCCACUCUCAAGGUAG
RNAcentral lists this ribosomal RNA (855 nucleotides) under Triticum aestivum (bread wheat). RNAcentral describes it as "partial small subunit ribosomal RNA". Lineage: Eukaryota; Viridiplantae; Streptophyta; Magnoliopsida; Poales; Poaceae. The record is from RNAcentral.